Molecule: ribosomal RNA, 425 nt
Filed under: uncultured bacterium
Lineage: Bacteria
Description: bacterial SSU rRNA
Rfam family: Bacterial small subunit ribosomal RNA
Source: RNAcentral
UGGGGAAUAUUGGACAAUGGGCGCAAGCCUGAUCCAGCCAUGCCGCGUGUGUGAAGAAGGCCUUCGGGUUGUAAAGCUCUUUUGUCCGGGAAGAAACGGCAAGUGAUAAUACCAUUUGUUAAUGACGGUACUGGAAGAAUAAGCACCGGCACACUACGUGCCAGCAGCCGCGGUAAUACGUAGGGUGCGAGCGUUAAUCGGAAUUACUGGGCGUAAAGCGUGCGCAGGCGGUUGUGCAAGACAGAUGUGAAAUCCCCGGGCUCAACCUGGGAACUGCAUUUGUGACUGCACGGCUAGAGUGUGUCAGAGGGGGGUAGAAUUCCACGUGUAGCAGUGAAAUGCGUAGAGAUGUGGAGGAAUACCGAUGGCGAAGGCAGCCCCCUGGGAUAACACUGACGCUCAUGCACGAAAGCGUGGGGAGCAAA